UGUGAGAGGUGUGUGUAGGCAAAUCCGCACACUGAUACCUCAAGCUGUGAUGGGGAGGGAAAAUCAUAGUACCGAAGGUCAUGUACCCACGCUGCCAAGAAAAGCCUCUAGCCAGGAGAAGGUGCCCGUACCGCAAACCGACACAGGUGGGCGAGAUGAGAAUUCUAAGGCGCGCGGAAGAACUCUCGUUAAGGAACUCGGCAAAAUGACCCCGUAACUUCGGGAGAAGGGGUGCCCCGGUAGUGUGAAUAGCACGAGGGGGCCGCAGUGAAGAGGCCCAAGCGACUGUUUAGCAAAAACACAGGUCUGUGCGAAGCCGUAAGGCGAAGUAUACGGGCUGACGCCUGCCCGGUGCUGGAAGGUUAAGAGGAGUGGUUAGCCGCAAGGCGAAGCUAUGAAUUGAAGCCCCAGUAAACGGCGGCCGUAACUGUAACGGUCCUAAGGUAGCGAAAUUCCUUGUCAGGUAAAUUCUGACCCGCACGAAUGGCGUAACGACUUGGGCGCUGUCUCAGCGAGAGAUCCGGUGAAAUUUUAGUACCUGUGAAGAUGCAGGUUACCCGCGACGUGACGGAAAGACCCCAUGGAGCUUUACUGUAGCUUGAUAUUGAACUUUGGUACGGUCUGUACAGGAUAGGUGGGAGCCUUUGAAGCAGGAGCGCAAGCUUCUGUGGAGGCGCCGUUGGGAUACCACCCUGAUCGUAUCGGAGUUCUAACUCGCUGCCCUUAUCGGGCAGGAGGACCGUGUCAGGCGGACAGUUUGACUGGGGCGGUCGCCUCCUAAAAUGUAACGGAGGCGCUCUAAGGUUCCCUCAGCGCGGUUGGAAAUCGCGCGCAGAGUGCAAAGGCAUAAGGGAGCUUGACUGCGAGACCUACAAGUCGAGCAGGGACGAAAGUCGGACUUAGUGAUCCGGUGGUACCGAAUGGAAGGGCCAUCGCUCAACGGAUAAAAGCUACCCUGGGGAUAACAGGCUUAUCUCCCCCAAGAGUCCACAUCGACGGGGAGGUUUGGCACCUCGAUGUCGGCUCAUCGCAUCCUGGGGCUGAAGUAGGUCCCAAGGGUUGGGCUGUUCGCCCAUUAAAGCGGUACGCGAGCUGGGUUCAGAACGUCGUGAGACAGUUCGGUCCCUAUCUGUCGCGGGCGUAGGAAAUUUGAGAGGGGCUGUCCUUAGUACGAGAGGACCGGGAUGGACGCACCGCUGGUGUACCAGUUGUUCCGCCAGGAGCAUCGCUGGGUAGCCAAGUGCGGAAGGGAUAAGCGCUGAAAGCAUCUAAGCGCGAAGCCUGCCUCAAGAUGAGAUUUCCCAAUUCGUAAGACCCCUGGAAGAACACCAGGUUGAUAGGCUCGGGGUGGAAGCGCGGUAACGUGUGCAGCUGACGAGUACUAAUCGGUCGAGGGCUUAUCCUA
RNAcentral lists this ribosomal RNA (1405 nucleotides) under metagenome. RNAcentral's name for it is "bacterial LSU rRNA". It matches the Rfam family "Bacterial large subunit ribosomal RNA", at positions 1518 to 2925 of the family's 2925-position model. The record is from RNAcentral.